AGUCACUGACAUUAGAUACCCGCGUAGUCCAGGGUGUAAACGCUGCCGACUUGGUGUUGGAGGCCCUUCGGGGGCAUUCAGUGCCGGAGAGAAGUUGUUAAGUCUGCUACUUGGGGAGUACGUCCGCAAGGAUGAAACUUAAAGGAAUUGGCGGGGGAGCACCGCAACGGGAGGAGCGUGCGGUUUAAUUGGAUUCAACGCCGAAAAACUCACCAGCAGCGACUGUUACAUGAAAGUCAGGUUGAUGACCUUACUAGAUUUUCAG
RNAcentral lists this ribosomal RNA (265 nucleotides) under uncultured archaeon. RNAcentral describes it as "partial 16S ribosomal RNA". It matches the Rfam family "Archaeal small subunit ribosomal RNA", at positions 716 to 982 of the family's 1478-position model. The record is from RNAcentral.